RNAcentral lists this transfer RNA (86 nucleotides) under Mycobacterium phage Lukilu. RNAcentral's name for it is "tRNA-Leu". It matches the Rfam family "tRNA". Rfam says of the family: Transfer RNA (tRNA) molecules are approximately 80 nucleotides in length. Their secondary structure includes four short double-helical elements and three loops (D, anti-codon, and T loops). Further hydrogen bonds mediate the characteristic L-shaped molecular structure. tRNAs have two regions of fundamental functional importance: the anti-codon, which is responsible for specific mRNA codon recognition, and the 3' end, to which the tRNAs corresponding amino acid is attached (by aminoacyl-tRNA synthetases). tRNAs cope with the degeneracy of the genetic code in two manners: having more than one tRNA (with a specific anti-codon) for a particular amino acid; and 'wobble' base-pairing, i.e. permitting non-standard base-pairing at the 3rd anti-codon position. RNAcentral also lists the same sequence under 18 other names. The record is from RNAcentral. Lineage: Duplodnaviria; Heunggongvirae; Uroviricota; Caudoviricetes.
GCCUCGGUGACGUAAUGGAAGCCGUGCUGCACUCAGACUGCAGUGUCCGAAAGGGCGUGAGGGUUCGACUCCCUCCCGAGGUACCA